RNAcentral lists this ribosomal RNA (253 nucleotides) under uncultured bacterium. Its description in RNAcentral is "partial 16S ribosomal RNA". It matches the Rfam family "Bacterial small subunit ribosomal RNA", at positions 524 to 776 of the family's 1533-position model. The record is from RNAcentral.
UACGAAGGGGGCUAGCGUUGUCCGGAUUUACUGGGCGUAAAGAGCGCGCAGGCGGUCGAUUUAGUCGCGUGUGAAAGCCCCCGGCUCAACUGGGGAGGGUCACGCGAUACUGAUCGACUCGAAGGCAGGAGAGGGUAGUGGAAUUCCCGGUGUAGUGGUGAAAUGCGUAGAUAUCGGGAGGAACACCAGUGGCGAAGGCGACUACCUGGCCUGUUCUUGACGCUGAGGCGCGAAAGCUAGGGGAGCAAACGGG